This is an unclassified non-coding RNA of Leptinotarsa decemlineata (Colorado potato beetle), 2020 nucleotides long. Lineage: Eukaryota; Metazoa; Arthropoda; Insecta; Coleoptera; Chrysomelidae. The record is from RefSeq and is a predicted model, not a curated record.
AUUGCUGGGCAUUCGAAUAUGUGGAAAACUGUUAAAGUAGACCCUGUUAAUGAAAAGGACGUGAUAUUCCAUGACUUGAUAGAAGAAUGUAAACGCUCUGUGCCCGGAGCGAGGUUAUCCUACGCCCUUCGCAAUAAACUCGAAAAAUAUUCCCUGGAAGUGAGGAGAGACAUAGUGAAUCGCAUCAAGGUCGGUUGCUCCCCCCUGUUCAUUGCGUGUAAAAAAGGACAGGCCGAGAUAGUGGAGUAUCUCAUAACAGAGUGCUCAGCUGACAUCGAACAGAAAGGGCUCUAUGAAGUGCAAGAAGAUAGAUCGACUCACGUCGUCACGCCACUAUGGUGUGCAGCAGUUUCAGGCAAGCUCCCUGUCGUCGAAAUCCUAUUACGGCACGGAGCAGAUAUUAACGCCGUAUCGGACACUGGCUCUACUCCGGUCCGAUCGGCGUGUUUCAUGACACACUACGACAUUGUUGAACAUUUGGUAAAGCACGGAGCCGACAUCAACAGACCCAACUACAAUGGGGGCACCUGCCUCAUAAAUUCGGUGCAGAGCGCUAGGUUAUGCGAUUUCUUACUGAAGAACAGAGCUGACGUCAACGCUAGGGAUAUACAGAACAAGACGGCUCUGCAUUACGCUAUUCAGGAGCACAGGAUAGAAUCAACGAUGCUUCUGCUAAAAAGCGGAGCGAAUUACAAUGCGAAAUCUAGAUAUGGCGAUGACGCUCUACAAAUGGCCUGUUUGAAAGGUGCUACGCGUAUCACCAAAUACCUCAUGGCCAUCAUCGACUAUCCCCCAGAAAAACUGGCCAAUGCGCAUGAGUUGAUGGGUACGACUUGUCUGGAUGAACACAGUGAAGUCGAGGAAGCUCUCGUGCAUUGGAGAACUGCUCUGGAUAUCAGAAUAAAGCACGGGUUAUUACCCAAGCAGCCAGUAAUGCCACCGAGGGAGUGUUACCGGUUCGAAAAGGAAUUCGAAAGCGAAGCAGAGCUUGAUAUAAUAUCUUCAGACAUGGACAGGGUCCAGAUACAAAGCCUGAUGAUUGUCGAAAGAAUUUUGGGGCCGCAUCAUAAGGAUACCAUUUACAGGUUAAUGUAUCGAGGCGCAUCGUUUGCGGACUUGAUGCGAUACCAGCGUUGCAUAGACCUUUGGAGAAGAGCUCUUGAGAUAAGAAUAGAAAAGGAUUCAAUACUCUACACGGAUACUUGUUUUUCUGCGCAAGCCUUGGUGAGGCUGAUGAUAGAUUAUCACACUAAGUCCGAGCUGCAUAACGAGGACAAUAAUCGUCAAAGAUUCCACGACAUUGUCUACACCUUCAAAAUGAUGACCAACAACAUAAUUGAAAUUCGGCAGCUACUGACAGUGAAGCCAGUUUACAAACGACAAGCCGAUAUUUUCGACAAGAUGUUGAAGUGCAUCGCACAUUUGAUAUACGUCAUGGUAGGGACUGCGACAACGGAUGAAGACAAGGAGUGCCUUUCGAAAUUGGUAACAGAGUUCGUGAGGAAAAACAUCAAGUGUGUCGUCUCGCAAGAUACAAUCUUGCACUUGUGCGUGAACAAGUUGAACACUAUCAGAUCUAGUCAUUUCACCGAUGAGGAACCUAUCAUGAUAUUUCCCGAGGCGAACGUAGUAAAGUGUCUACUAGAAUGUGGGGCAGAAGUCAAUGCCAAAAAUGAGCUAGGCUGUACCCCUUUGCACUUGAGCACGAUAUCUUACAAUUAUUCGGAUUGGUGGUCGAAGGAAUCAAUUAAAGGUAGAAAACUUGGCACCAUGCACUUGUUAUUCUUUCCGAAUUAGGCCAGAAAUCGAUUAUCCCUCUGAAUGGAGUUAUUUCAAAGCUGCUACUGAAGAUGAGGGUCCUUAUUGUUCUGUUAUGCAUAUGUCUAGGGCGGUGAAAUUAGGAAAAAUGCCGUUGGUUAGAAAAAUUGCUCACAAUAGACCCCACCUCCUGGAAACAGAAAACAAAGAAAACAAAACUCCCCUGGUGCAAUCAAUUCAAGCAGGCGACGUCCAGAUGCUA